GUAGUCCACGCCGUAAACGGUGGGUACUAGGUGUGGGUUUCCUUCCUUGGGAUCCGUGCCGUAGCUAACGCAUUAAGUACCCCGCCUGGGGAGUACGGCCGCAAGGCUAAAACUCAAAGAAAUUGACGGGGGCCCGCACAAGCGGCGGAGCAUGUGGAUUAAUUCGAUGCAACGCGAAGAACCUUACCUGGGUUUGACAUGCACAGGACGCUGGUAGAGAUAUCAGUUCCCUUGUGGCCUGUGUGCAGGUGGUGCAUGGCUGUCGUCAGCUCGUGUCGUGAGAUGUUGGGUUAAGUCCCGCAACGAGCGCAACCCUUGUCCUAUGUUGCCAGCGGGUUAUGCCGGGGACUCGUAGGAGACUGCCGGGGUCAACUCGGA
Molecule: ribosomal RNA, 378 nt
Filed under: uncultured bacterium
Lineage: Bacteria
Description: bacterial SSU rRNA
Rfam family: Bacterial small subunit ribosomal RNA
Source: RNAcentral